GUACCCCAACUCAUUAUAGGGAAUGAAGCAGUAAUGAUUUCAAAGUCAAACUAAGCUAGGUAUAAAUCUUGUCUCUGGUAGUUAUUAGUAAUGUGCCCUUGGAGAAUGCACUUAUCCUUUAUGAGUGUCCUUUUUUUUUUUUUUCUGAGACAGAGUUUCGCCCUGUUGACCAGGCUGGAGGGCAGUGGCAUGAUCUCGGCUCACUGCAGCCUCCAUCUCCCAGGUUCAAGUGAUUCUCCUGCCUCAGCCUCCCAAGUAGCUGGGAUUACAGGCACGAGCCACCAUGCCAGACUAAUUUUUGUAUUUUUAAUAGAGAUGGGGUUUCACUACAUUGGCCAGGCUGGUCUCAAACUCCUGACCUCAUGAUCUGCCCGCCUCAGGCUCCCAAAGUGCUGGGGAUUACAGGCGUGAGCCACCAUGCCCAGCUCAUUUCUUUAUCUGUAUACUAGGGAAGGCAAUAUCUACCUUAUGGGGCUAUGAUGAGGAUUAAAUUAAGUGAGAUUACGUGUAAAAGUGCCAAGCAUAUUUCCUGGAACACAACUUGCUUAAUUCCCAUUACUUUUACUUCCAUAUUGCAUCCUUUAGGUGCUCUCUCUCACGUUAAGGAGACAUGCCUAAGUCCUUCGACUUCAUCUGCCACAGACUGGGCAGGAGCCUGGAACCCAACCCCAUUAUGAUACAAUUGAGUUCCUGGCAACAACCCUGACUGGAAGUGGCUGGGGACAGAGUGUCCCACGGCCUGGAGCAGAGCUUGUUAGAUUAAAGAUGGAAAAAACUGGGUCCAUCUUUAAGAGCUGCCAAGUGAACCAGGAACCACCCAUCCCCUGCAGGAAGGAACUGUUGUGUCAUUAAUAAUACUUAGCAUUGUCCUAGUGUUUUUCCAAGCUAAUUAAUUCUGCUCCAAAUCCCAGAAAACAAACGACUGAGUGAGUUGGAGACAGAUCUCGUUUCUGAGACAGAAGGGUAGAGAAGCGUGUCCUCUGCAGUGACUGGGGGAAGAGAAAAGCCUCAUCACCACUUCUUAGAGCCAAGUUACCCAGGGCAAGGAAAGGGCAUUGAGUCCUGGGGAUGGUGGGUACUUACCUCCCUAUCUGCAAGAUCUUUAAACAGGAACAGUCACCCAAAGUUGCAGAUACAAGAAGGCUCACCCAUCCCUAGGACACAUUGCCCAGAAGUGGCAGGUGUUGGUAAGCUGGCUUCAUGGUCCAGAUGGAAAAGUUUAUCCUUCUCUCUCUCCCUAGAGCACGGGACAAAGCUCAUGUGCCAGGACAUGACAUGUAGCUGACUGGUCAACUCUGUGCCAUUUAACUCCAUGGAUACUUACUUUACAGACCAGAAUCUGGGAACACCAAGAAUCCAACUCCAACUCCUCCCUUCAUGGGAGUGCAGAGUCAAGUGUGAGAGACCAAAAAGGCAGAAAGUUUCAUUGUAAAGAGAAAUACUCAGAUGAGGGAGUACAAAGGAUGUGAGGCAGUAUGGAAAGGAUUCCUGGAAAAGAAUAUUUUGAGCUGUUUGGAAAGAUGAUUAAAAACAACAAAACAAAGAAAUGGACAGAGGACUUAAAGUCAAGAGGCUUAAAGUCAAGAAAGGGCAAAGCACAUUCAGGAACUUGAACAUAGUUCCUUGGAGAGUUGGGGAAUUUCAGUUUGACAAUGACUCCUGUCAUCACAAAGGAAAGAAAGGCUCGUGACAAGACAAACAAGUGUACAAAUAUGUACAGCACGCAAUGAGGGCCCAGAGGAAGAAAGAAAGAUUAAAGGAUAGGAGAGACUACUUUUGCCUUGAGGGGAAGAAAGAAGUCAGGGGCUGGCUAACAGGGGGUGUGGAAGCCUGCAAACUACACUUCAUAGGCUGUGAUCAGCUGCCUUCUGGUUGGGCUCUGCCAGUGAAAAGCCUUGGGACAGGACUCAAAUGCUGGAGGGAAGGAGAAGUUUGAUUUUGCAUUGUUUUGGUUUUGUUUUACCCCUGCUUUCACAAAUGCCUCCCCGAGUGGUGACACAUCAGCGGAAGUGCAACUUCUGGCCCCCUGCACAGCUUCAGGGACCAUCUGAUAGCAGUAACAGCAACUGCACCUCCAGAAGAUCAGAAGCACAUGCAGGCUGGGCUUCUGUCAAAGGCUGGGAAGAGCUCCCUGGCCUCUGAGUUUCUCCCUUCUCCCUUUUACUCUUCUACCUCUUCCAAAAGAUUGUAACCAACUCCCUGUAUUAAAUCCCUCUCUGCUGGAAAUACCUCCAGUGCAAUCUA
RNAcentral lists this long non-coding RNA (2244 nucleotides) under Homo sapiens (human). RNAcentral's name for it is "HSALNT0349749". Lineage: Eukaryota; Metazoa; Chordata; Mammalia; Primates; Hominidae. The record is from RNAcentral.